RNAcentral lists this transfer RNA (77 nucleotides) under Thermus aquaticus. RNAcentral describes it as "tRNA-Met". It matches the Rfam family "tRNA". Rfam says of the family: Transfer RNA (tRNA) molecules are approximately 80 nucleotides in length. Their secondary structure includes four short double-helical elements and three loops (D, anti-codon, and T loops). Lineage: Bacteria; Thermotogati; Deinococcota; Deinococci; Thermales; Thermaceae. The record is from RNAcentral. RNAcentral also lists the same sequence under 39 other names.
CGCGGGGUGGAGCAGCCUGGUAGCUCGUCGGGCUCAUAACCCGAAGGUCGCGGGUUCAAAUCCCGCCCCCGCAACCA